ACACGAGUCACCUUGGAGCUUGUGAAAAUGCUGACCCUGAUCCCCUCAGCCCUGCAGGGCCUGAGAGUCUGAGUUUCUAACAAACUCCCAAGUGAUCAGGGC
RNAcentral lists this microRNA precursor (102 nucleotides) under Marmota monax (woodchuck). Lineage: Eukaryota; Metazoa; Chordata; Mammalia; Rodentia; Sciuridae. The record is from RNAcentral.